UGCAUGGCUGUCGUCAGCUCGUGCCGUGAGAUGUUGGGUUAAGUCCGUAACGAGCGCAACCCUUGUCCUUAGUUACCAGCACGUUAUGGUGGGCACUCUAAGGAGACUGCCGGUGACAAACCGGAGGAAGGUGGGGAUGACGUCAAGUCAUCAUGGCCCUUACGGCCUGGGCUACACACGUGCUACAAUGGUCGGUACAAAGGGUUGCCAAGCCGCGAGGUGGAGCUAAUCCCAUAAAACCGAUCGUAGUCCGGAUCGCAGUCUGCAACUCGACUGCGUGAAGUCGGAAUCGCUAGUAAUCGUGAAUCAGAAUGUCACGGUGAAUACGUUCCCGGGCCUU
Molecule: ribosomal RNA, 340 nt
Filed under: uncultured Pseudomonas sp.
Lineage: Bacteria; Pseudomonadati; Pseudomonadota; Gammaproteobacteria; Pseudomonadales; Pseudomonadaceae
Description: bacterial SSU rRNA
Rfam family: Bacterial small subunit ribosomal RNA
Source: RNAcentral